GAUGAACGCUGGCGGCGUGCCUAAUACAUGCAAGUCGAGCGAACAGACGAGGAGCUUGCUCCUCUGACGUUAGCGGCGGACGGGUGAGUAACACGUGGAUAACCUACCUAUAAGACUGGGAUAACUUCGGGAAACCGGAGCUAAUACCGGAUAAUAUAUUGAACCGCAUGGUUCAAUAGUGAAAGACGGUUUUGCUGUCACUUAUAGAUGGAUCCGCGCCGCAUUAGCUAGUUGGUAAGGUAACGGCUUACCAAGGCAACGAUGCGUAGCCGACCUGAGAGGGGGAGCGGCCACACUGGAACUGCGACCCGGCCCGGCCUCCGCCGGGAGGCGCAAUGAGGAAUUCUUCCCAAAUGGGCAAAGGCCUGACGGAGCACCCCCGGGGGAGGGAUGAAGUUCUUCGGAUCUAAAACCUUUUUUAUUGGGGAAAAAAAAAUGUGUAAGUACCUAUGCCCGUCUUGACGUUCCCUAACCAGAACCCCCCGCCAACCUCCGUC
RNAcentral lists this ribosomal RNA (497 nucleotides) under uncultured bacterium. RNAcentral describes it as "partial 16S ribosomal RNA". It matches the Rfam family "Bacterial small subunit ribosomal RNA", at positions 28 to 507 of the family's 1533-position model. The record is from RNAcentral.